This is a long non-coding RNA of Cicer arietinum (chickpea), 1305 nucleotides long. RefSeq lists it as uncharacterized. The record is from RefSeq and is a predicted model, not a curated record. NCBI's taxonomy places the organism in Eukaryota, Viridiplantae, Streptophyta, Magnoliopsida, Fabales, Fabaceae.
CUGACAUUAAUUAGAUCACUACUACAACCGUAAGAAAUUAGAGGGUUGUAAACUUAUCCUUUCAAGGAGUGUUGUUUAUCAUCGUUGAUCCAUAGUUAACCAUAUCCUGUGUUGGUCGACCUAAACACUCACUUAUAUUAGAGUUUGUUAAAGGAUUAGAUAUUAUUAUUAAUUCUUGAAUUCCUUUUUCCCCUGUGGUGUUGUUUUUGCUUUCUUUUUUCUUCUUCUUGAAUGAGUAUUACACUUUGGUGAAAGUAAGCUUCUCUAGUAGGUUUAUUAUUUGGGUUUAACGAUACAUUUGAAAACAUGCGUCUUGAAGGCUGGCUUGACUGAUCUAUCUUCUAAGGAUAAAAUAUGUGGGUGAAGAAUUGUGUCACUAGGCUUACUGAUUGCAUGCUAAUUUUCAUUAUUAGGAAUUAUUUCUUUGGGAUCUGUUUAAAGUCUAGAUAAUGAUUGAGACAUCAUUUCUAUCAUAUACUACCAUCAAAGCAUCACUUGUGGAUUUUGGGAAAUGAAGAUCUAAAGUAUUGUCUUGCAAUCUUUAGUUGUAUGGCUAAGAUGGAUUAGGUAUUGCCUCAUCACGGUGAAGGUGUCAGUUUUGGUUAAUAGUUCACCUAUUGAUGAGUUCUUGCUACUAAGGGGUUGAGACAGGGGACUUUUGCCCAUAUCUUGUUUUUAUUGGCUACCGAAGAGCUUAACUCUUUGAUGUGCUCAACAAUUAAGAAGGUUAACAUCCUAGAUAGAUGAAUGACAUUGUAAUUUUGAUCAUGAAGACAACUACACAAUAAAGGAUGCUUACAAGUUGUUCUCAGAUUCAUCAACAUUUGAAGUUUCAUUUUCUUAUGAGUUGGUCAGAAAUAAGAUAGUCCCUUUGAAGGUUUAUGUGAUGAAUUUUCAAUAAUUGAUGUUUAUGUGAAGACUUUUCAACAAUCGCUUACCUACAAAAGAUAGUCUACUUGUCAGUUGCAUUAAUUAGGUAGAUUUUAUAUUGUGUUGUAAAAUAUGGCGAGAUAGAACUCACUCGUCAUUUGUAAUUCGUGUGUCCAAUAUUUAGGGGUGUGUGGUUGGAACUUUUGAGGUGAUUGGGUGUUGUUUAUGCUUUUGAUAUGGAAGCAUACACUCAUCAAUUUGCUGGUUUAAGCUCUAUCCGUAAAGAGCUUCGUUCAAAGUUUAAUACUAUUUAGAUGAAAUGUGUAUGAUUUUUAGGAAAAAUGUGCAAUUUUAUGAUUUUCAAUCGGUUGAUUUCAAUGAUUUAAUCCUACUUGAGAAUGUCAAAUUGACGUCUUUGACGUGAAUUAAAGCAAA